AGCAGAGGAAACUAAUCUGACUAGGAACCAUGAGGUUGCAGAUUCCAUCCCUGGCCUUGCUUAUGGGUUAAGUACCUGGCAUUGCCAUGAGCUGUGGUGUAUGUCACAGAGGCUCCUCAGAACCUAUGUUACUGUGGCCGUGGUGUAGGCCAGCAGCUGCAGCUCCAAUUAGACCCAAGCCUGGGAAUUCCCAAAUGCCACUGGUGCAGCCAUAAAAAGCAAAAAGCAAAAAGCAAAAAAAAAAAAAAAAAAUACUAGCCAUCCUAAAUAAUAUCCUAGGUGUAGUAUUGGUUAUAAGUUUAAUUUUCAUGAUUAAAGUAAAUAUGUUCUUUUCCUUUUAAAAUUAUUUCUCAGUUUUGUCUUUUAAAAUAUUUAUCUGAAUUUUUGUUUUAACUAUAAAGUGUUACUUAUUUUCUGUAAGAGCCAUUGAUGAAUAUUUGGAUACCAGUUUUACCAUUUAGUUUCAGUCUGUAAUAUAAAUUUGAUUAAAAUAGCAUGGCAUUGACACAGAGAUUUACAUAAAUGCAAACAGUAUGCAACUAGUUAUACUUUGUAUGUAUCAUUUAAUAGAAAUUAUAGUUUGUAUGGUUUGCUUUCUAAUAAUGAGUCAUAAGGCUAAUUGAUUAUUUCAUGUAUCAUUUAAUAGAAAUUAUAGUUUGUAUGGUUUGCUUUCUAAUAAUGAGUCAUAAGGCUAAUGGUGGAAAUGAAAUGCUUCUUUAAUUGUUCUAUAUUGAGCAUAGAUAUACAUAUGUGGGAAAUGAUUGAAUUUGGACCUUAGUACAGUAAUUGAUUAUUUCAUAUUAAUCAUUUUUUUCUUAAAAAACAAAAUAUUUAAUCAAUGGGUUGGUCUUUUAUAUUUAGCUGUGUGAACUAAUUAAUUAAAUACAAUUUUUUUAUAUCUAUGCUUAAUUGAUUUUUAUUAAUUGGAAAAAGGGUCCAUUUGUUACUAUUUUUAGAGAUCUCCCAUAGAUAAAAAGUAAUUACAAUAUUUACAUUUGUUGAAGAGACUAUCCAAAUGAUUUUAUAUUUAAAAAAAAUAUACUUCUUAAAAGCAUAAUCCUGGUACUAAAAUGAAUGAAUCCUGUCUCAAUAGGAAUUUACACUCUCCUUCUAGAAAUUCAUACUCUAUGCAUUCUCCAAACCACUUGUGAACAUUUUACCUCAUUUGAAUUGAUUGCUAACCUGCGGAUAGUUCUGAGGAUCUAUUCUUGGCUGCGUUGGGAGAAGAAAUGCCGUGGGUUUUACUGAAAUAGGUGCUAUGAGGGGUAACCAUGUCCCCAGUUCUACCAUAGCCUUGGAUACUGCAAUCUUUUUGUUUGUGUGUUUUGUUAUCUGUGCUUAACGGUUAAAAGCCUGGAUCCUGGAGGUAGACAGGCCUGAAUUUAAAUCUGGUUCCAAUAAUAUUGGGUAUAUAGUUUAAGAGAAAUUAAGUUUUGAGACUAAAUUUCUUCUUAAACAUAUUCAUAAAACAUGUAUAUCAGAAUACAUAAUAUAAAGUGACUAGCAAACAAACAUUUAAUGGGCAUGUAUUUUUUAUUUCUGUUGUCAUGGCUAUUUAUCAAUGUUUAUUUCUAAUAUAUUGUAAUAUAUUGACUUUUAAAACUGCUUAAUCCUUCUCUUCCCCUUAAAUUAAUCCAUGAUAUUAUAACUUGGAAAAUAUCACCAUUUCACUGUUCUAUUUUUUAAAAUUUCUCCCUUUUCCUAAUCCAUCCCAUUUUUGAGUCAUUUGUCAUUUUCUAUACAUCCAAGCAGGAAAACCCCUUAAUAUCUGUUUCCAACAUGUUUUUCAUAUUUUUUCUUGAUAUACUUAAGGAACUGUUGCUAAAUAAUUUUGGAGUUCUCUUGUGGUGCAGCAGGUUAAAGAUCUGGCAUUGCCCCUGCAGAGGCUUGGGUCGUGCUGUGGCAUGGAUUUGAUCCCUGGCCUGGGCUUUCACAUGCGAUGGCCACAGCUAAAAAAAAAAUGGCUAGAGUAGCUACAUGCUAAAUUUUGACCAAGAUAAAAUGCAGCAAUUACUAAGACAAGUUGAGUUCAAGCCCUUUCAUUACUUGAAGAGGAGUCACAAGAAUAACAUUGAAAAAAUUGCUCAUUGAAAUUAUAUUUAACAAGGACAAUAAACAAUGUCAUAGCAACAUAUCCUGAUCCAAAAAUUUUAGAAUUUAUAUCAGGGAAAAGUAUUUCUUGAUCAAGAAACACUACAUAAUUGGGAGGUAUGCUAAUGGACAAUUACUUGGAUAUCUGAUGCAAAAACGGAUUCAAAGUAUUGAGAAUUAAAACAAGAAAUGCAACAAAAUAAUUUAUUUGACUUGUGAUUACUAUUUCCUUAUUGUUAUGUAGCAUAUUAUUUCUACAUUAAACACUGUAGGAAUCUAGGGGGUGCUGUACAUUGCUUGAAAGUCCAGUCUACCUAAGUAGACAAAUGGACAUUUGCUGCGCCAAGAGGCUGACUCAAACUUUCUCAUUGCUUUUCCAGCAAGAGUUGGGAAGGACAUCUAUCUGCCACAUCUAGAAAUUCAGACACACACCUAGUAUGUGCCCUGCAAGGUGUGUGGUGGUAAUCCAACACUGGCUUUAAAAAUCUUAAAACACAUUAAAAUCUUAAGAGGGUAAUAUCCAGAGUUACGCUGUAUGACAUA
RNAcentral lists this long non-coding RNA (2634 nucleotides) under Sus scrofa (pig). Its description in RNAcentral is "lncRNA (ENSSSCG00040032841.1)". The record is from RNAcentral. Lineage: Eukaryota; Metazoa; Chordata; Mammalia; Artiodactyla; Suidae.